This 253-nucleotide ribosomal RNA is filed under the name uncultured bacterium. Its description in RNAcentral is "partial 16S ribosomal RNA". It matches the Rfam family "Bacterial small subunit ribosomal RNA", at positions 524 to 776 of the family's 1533-position model. The record is from RNAcentral.
UACGGAGGGUGCAAGCGUUAUCCGGAUUCACUGGGUUUAAAGGGUGCGUAGGUGGGCAGUUAAGUCAGUGGUGAAAUCUCCGGGCUCAACCCGGAAACUGCCAUUGAUACUAUCUGUCUUGAAUAUCGUGGAGGUAAGCGGAAUAUGUCAUGUAGCGGUGAAAUGCUUAGACAUGACAUAGAACACCAAUUGCGAAGGCAGCUUACUACCCGAAUAUUGACACUGAGGCACGAAAGCGUGGGGAUCAAACAGG